Molecule: long non-coding RNA, 1881 nt
Organism: Triticum dicoccoides
Lineage: Eukaryota; Viridiplantae; Streptophyta; Magnoliopsida; Poales; Poaceae
Exons: 4
Source: RefSeq, a predicted model, not a curated record
CCACAUUCCAGAUCCAGACCCGAGCUAUCUUCGCAUCCCAGCCUCAUCUCAAAUCCCUAGCCGCCACCAGCAGCGGCGCCCCAAAUUCCUCGUCGUCGCCAGCCGGCUGCCGGCCCAAUCCCACCUCGCCGGAUGCGCCGCAGAUCUAUCGCCGCCGGAUGCACCUCCCUCUCGCCCGCUCCCUCCCACCAUAUUCGCUUGGUGACGACCAAGAACGGCCGCCUACAAAUGUUGUCGUCAACCUUCCCACUACCUCCGGAUGAUUGUCACCGUCAACGUGCCCGCCGCUGCCGUCACUCGACCGCCAUCGCAUCCUUAUCUGAGUGCCACCCUUCCCAUCCAGGUUUACAGGACUUCUCAGAAACAUCACUUAUUACGAGGAACAAAGAAGAGUUGAGCUAUUGAUUGUCAAGUACCAUUGGAUGGCUAGUAUGCUCAAGAUCAUCUGGUAUGUUUUGAGCCAAUAACUGCUAUGUUUGUUCAGUCUGAAUGUUCCUUUACAUUCUAUUUUCUUCUUAUGAUUUACAGUAACAGUUUGCUCUCUAACUUGUUUAUCCAUCCCUUUGGAUUUUAGUCUCUUUAAUUAUGUUAGGAUUUAGGAAGAAUUGAGAGAACAUCAUCAGUGCAAAAUAGAGGUUAAAGCAGGAGGUUGAGGUGGGCAGUCCAUGCCAACAAAUUAAAUAAUAUUCUUCCAGAUGAAGUGGUACUAUUCCCCUCCAUAUUUUGUUGUUGUACGCACAUGAACCUAGAAAUUAAAUAUUGGUCAGCACCUAUUUGAGGUCUGAUUUUUCUAGUUUGCAGUUCGUCUUGAUUGGGAAAAAAUAAUGGAUUCUGGAUGUACCGCCAGAGGCUUUGUUGUAAUCAAGAUAAUUUUACUUUUGUUUCCACCCUCAUCUCCAAAAUUUUAUCAUCAAUUGUCAGUCAAGUUGUCUAGUGUAUAUUACCAAACCAUGCUUUGUCCAGUGUUCUCAAUAUCAUGAGAUCAAAAUUAUUGAGCGAGUAGUUGCUAUGUUUGUUUAGUCUGAACAUGUCCUUUUUCUAUUUCUGUGGUAUCUUUUAUUGUUUCACUAUGCAGAACCGUAAAAAUGUGUUCUCUAGUUUUGUUUGUCCAUACCUUUUCGUUACACCGAUCAACGCAGCUAGUAGCGGAGGUUAAGUCUCUGCCACUCCUUGAUUUGUUAGCGGUGCUGCUAAUUUGUAUCCAGCACUCAGAUUAGUUGAUAAAGAUAUCUUUAUUUUCAGGAGAGGUUUGCAUGAUGUGAAUAUUUCUGCAUGAGGGGAGAAGAAUCUGCAAGACAACACAGGAAGCAAUGAGCAGCUGCAUGGCAAGUACAAGGUAGAUUAUCUGUACAACAAGGAAAGGCUGCAAGAAGAAGUUGAGGUUAUCAAUCAAGGCAAGAAAUUCUACAUAUUCUUCUGAAUGAAGAGAUGUCGUUCCCUGUUGUUACAUUAUCAAAUAAUUGCAUAAUGCUUUGUUUUUUAUUAUUAUGGAGGAAAUGACGAAUCUGCCCUUUUUUUGGAAAUCUGAAAUGGAUAUACUUAACUCCCUGUCAUUAUACAAUACUUGCAAGAAGCCCCUAAUAACUUAUCUACUCAGGCUGUUAGCUGAUAGUUUUUUCCAACUAAUCGAGAAACUCAGGUUGUCAUUUAAUGGAUUUUGUCAGUUGCAUGGUCUGUAUCAAGUCUGGGAUAUGAUGCUAGAACAAAUAACUCCGUUGUUUUGUCCUGUAAAAUUCGGUAACUUUGAUCUGCCAAAAACAGGUGGGAUAUAUAUGCCAAUGUUAUUGCGAGAAACUGAGAUAUCAAAUAGAUUAUGCUAAUUUUAUCUUAUAAAUAUUGUUCCUAUUUCUUGUCACAUUUUUUCAAGUUCAAUUAUAUCCA